GGGGGGGGGGGGGGGGGGGGGGGGGGGGGGGGAGGCGGGGGGAGGGACGGGAGGCGUGCUUGGCUGGUGUGAGCGGCGGACGGGUGAGUGACACGUGGAUAACCUACCUAUAAGACUGGGAUAACUUCGGGAAACCGGAGCUAAUACCGGAGAAUAUUUUGCACCGCAUGGUUCCAAAGUGAAAGACGGUCUUGCUGUCACUUAUAGAUGGAGCCGCGCUGCCUUAGCUAGUUGGUAAGGUAACGGCUUACCAAGGCAACGAUGCAUAGCCGACCUGAGAGGGUGAUCGGCCACACUGGAACUGAGACACGGUCCAGACUCCUACGGGAGGCAGCAGUAGGGAAUCUUCCGCAAUGGGCGAAAGCCUGACGGAGCAACGCCGCGUGAGUGAUGAAGGUCUUCGGAUCGUAAAACUCUGUUAUUAGGGAAGAACAUAUGUGUAAGUAACUGUGCACAUCUUGACGGUACCUAAUCAGAAAGCCACGGCUAACUACGUG
RNAcentral lists this ribosomal RNA (497 nucleotides) under uncultured bacterium. RNAcentral's name for it is "partial 16S ribosomal RNA". It matches the Rfam family "Bacterial small subunit ribosomal RNA", at positions 36 to 507 of the family's 1533-position model. The record is from RNAcentral.